Long non-coding RNA from Anolis carolinensis (green anole), 1469 nucleotides. RefSeq lists it as uncharacterized. NCBI's taxonomy places the organism in Eukaryota, Metazoa, Chordata, Lepidosauria, Squamata, Anolidae. The record is from RefSeq and is a predicted model, not a curated record. The transcript is spliced from 3 exons.
GCCACCUCUUUUUCUAAAAUACUACAUAGUUACUGUAUUUCACCACGUAAUAGUUGCCACUGCAUAAUCAUCACAUUCCCUUUUUGGCUCCCCCUCCCUUUUCUCAUGCCAUUAUCUCAGGUAGUUUUAAACAAAACAAAAACAAACACUGAGCCCUUUCUCCCUCCUCUCCUCUUCCCUGAAAGACAGUUUAAACGUGGACCCUUUCCUCCCUCAUCUUUGUCUCAGAGAUCACUAACAACGCUAAGAAAAUGAGACCCCCAAGAGUCUUCAUCAUCAUAAGUUGAAGUUGAGUUCUUGAAAAUUUUCUUUCAGGUCAUGAUGCUGCCUACAAGGAACAAAAUAUCCCAGUAUGCUUCUGCCAUCCCUACUUUAUACAUUAAUACAAUUUGGAUGACAGAGAACACAACCUGCUCUUGUAGCUAUCAGUUAUGUUUGCUUUCACCUUCAGGAACUGUUUCCGUAUUGACUUGUCAGUUGAUGAAACACCAACAUAAAUAGUAGAGAAACCCUGUGCAGCAUGCUUGACAGAACUCACAUUGAACACUGGCAAAGCUUAUUUAGCUUGUUUAUAGCUGUGAAGAAAUGUUAUUUUGUUAGGAAGGGGAGAUAACAGAAAAUAAAUGUGUUUUCUGAGAUUGAAUCUUCAUAUUUCUAGAUGUAAAGGUAACCCUAUUCGAGUUUAUAAUACUGUCAUAGGCAAAACAGAUUGUCUGAUAUGCAACGUUGGGAAACAUAACAUUGGAGACAUAGCUAUGAUGUCUUCAGAUGUUUUCAAAAAUCUUAUUGUUUUAACCUCAUGGCCCCUCUCUACAGAGUUUCCACUUUUUAAAUAGUGGAGAGCAGAGUGGUUUUUUGUGUGUGUGUGUCAGGAUCAAUUUGAGAAACUGCAAGUCGCUUCUGGUGUGAGAGAAUUGGCCGUCUGCAAGGACAUUGCCUAGGGGACGCCUGGACAUUUGAUGUUUUACCAUUCUUGUGGGAGACUUCUCUCAUGUCCCCGCAUGGGGAGCUAGUGCUGACAAACGAGAGUUCACCAGGACUCCCCGGAUUUGAACCGUCGACCUUUCAGUCAGCAGUCUUGCCAGCACAAGGGUUUAACCCAUUGCGCCACUGGGGGCUCCAAGUGGAGUGGUGAGAAAUGAUGGAUCCGACUCUCUCUGAGUCAUGAAACUAUGAUACAGGCAGCUUCAGAGGCCCUGUAACAAUUGGGCUGACCACACAUGUAAAUUCCAAUUGUUGCAGUGUUAUAACUCUAGAUUAUGACUAUAAAUACUGAACAGAACACUGGUCCUAAUUUAUGUUUCCCUGGUGAAUUUCUGAUAAACAUCCACAAUUUCAGUUGGAAGACAAUUUAAAUUCAUUUUCACAUAUACUGUAUACAUAUACAUGGCUCCUCCAAACAGGGCAAAUGUGUCAAGAAAUUGUAUUAACUGGCAUAUUUCUUGCUUUUAAAAAUAAUCUAAAUGAUA